Molecule: long non-coding RNA, 2027 nt
Organism: Musa acuminata AAA Group (dessert banana)
Lineage: Eukaryota; Viridiplantae; Streptophyta; Magnoliopsida; Zingiberales; Musaceae
Exons: 5
Source: RefSeq, a predicted model, not a curated record
UCGUUCCGACUCCGAGUCUUGAGACCCCCUCUGCUCCGGCGCCAGGGAUUCGCACUCCGCCUCUGCUCCACCGCCGACGGCGAUUUCGGAUUCACCAUCCUUCUCGGCCGUCCAUGGAUGGAUGAUUUCUCUAAGGAAUUCUCUCUCUGUCUCUCUCUGUCUCUCUCUCUCUCUCUCUCUCUCUCUCCUCAGCAUUUCCACCACCCUCUUGGUCGGCGCCGGAUACUUCGCCUUAGGCUUUCUCCUCGCCCACAAGGAGACCGGGAGCGGCUUUCCUUCCCAAGUUCUUGGAUCAAACCUUCGCUGAUAGGACUACAGUCGCCUCCUUUCGGCCGACGACGCUGCCGCCUAGCUCGAGUAUAUAGAGCGAACCACGCAGAAGAAGCCCUCCCUUCACGAGAUCAAAACCCUUGCUGAAAUUCUUGAAAGUUUCGACAUGGUUUUGCUUGUUAGAAAUGAUCUGGAAAUGAGACAAGGGAAGAUUGCUGCCCGACGCAGUGAGACUAAUGAGUUUGAUGGACAUCAUGAGCAAGAGAACAGAGAAACUAGCUACUCAAAAGCAUAAAAGACAGCCAUGCAAUGGUGAUUUGUAUAAAGAGCUCCUUCGAAGGUCUGUGCAAGCUUUCAGCAGGGACAAUGGGAGGCAUCGGGGAGGCUGACCUUUGCGGAUGGACACGCAAGGGUGCUGCACGACUUAGGCAAAACCAGCUAAGUCCGUGACAGUAAGUUGCUUUAAUUAUAUAUAGCACUCAAACAAUUUCUGUUUUGUUUGUUUCAAUUUUUUUAUUCUCAUUUAACUCUCUAAUUAUAGCAUAUGCUCGUCUAGUUUCAAUCAAAUGCUAUACAAGGUUAUUAACUUGAGCUUGAAGUAUUUCGGGUUAUGUGAUUUAUGAUUGUAAAGUUAAUGAGUUAGUUUCUCCAUCGGAUUGAACGGUUUAUAAGUUUGGACCUAUAUCAAACAUAGUGAAGGGGGGGAGUUCAGGUAAAAUAGGACUUUUGAUAGAUAGGACUUGAGGGAGUUGGAAUCACUACUGGUCUGGAUCUGAUGUAUUGCCUACCAGACAUGAUUUUGACAGUGAAAUAAAGUUGGAUUGUUCUUGGAACAAAAAUGAAACAGGAGUUGUGGUUGUUGUUGGGCAAUGGCAAUCUCCUUUACCUUUAAGCACAAAGCAAGUUAGAAGAUGAGCAGAUCUAUUCCUAUGUUUUUUGAUCUAUUUUCCUCUGUGUGUGUGUGUGUGGAUGGAACAGUCAUGGGGUCAGAAUAGGUGGUCCAUGUGGUCAGAUCCUAUCUUGAAGGAACAAGCAAGUCAUCAGGAGGAAGGAAGGAUAGGAUAAGGGACCUGUUUGGCUGGCUGCAUGUGUUCUUAUCAGUAGCAAAGUCCUCCUCAUACAAGGAAUUGAAUCACUAUAUUGCCUUCCUAUCAUCUCAAUUACCGGAAUUGAAUCGACUUGAUCAAAUAUCGGUCACUGAGUCACCGGUUGAGCCGAUGGAUUCAUUGAUCAUAUCAUUGGUUAAAAAAAUAAUAUUUAUAAUGUAUUAUCAUUCAAAAUAAAAUAAAUUAGGGAUACGGAGCAGAGCAGAUAUAAUAUUUUUAAAUAGUUAUAAUAACAAAAUAUAAAUGCCUUUAUAAAAGGUCAAAUAUCCUUCUUGUUGAUAAUGAAUGAAGAGUCGAGGGCAUCUCAGUUUUUUUCAAGACUUAAUUAGUGAACAGAACCUAAGUCUUUCUGUUGGCUGUGCCUCCUCUUUCUGGUUGCUGACCUCAAGUAGGACAAUCUUCUUUUUGUUGCAACCCUGUACAUCCUUUUUCUGUGGCUUCUUCCAUGUGCAAUGGACAUGGUGGGGAUGAAGCUCGAGAAAGUUUGGCACCCCCCCAUGUCACCGUUGAUGGUUGUUCGUGUUUCCUGUGAUGGGUAGGUGAUAGGUCCAUUUCACUGUGAGUUUUACAGUGGGAUGGCACCCAUUCCUCAGCCUUCAAGGCAGGAGGCAAGAUGAGAUGCCAAACCUGUGAGACAAGUCAUUGGAAUAU